UGGGGAAUAUUGCACAAUGGAGGGAACUCUGAUGCAGCGACGCCGCGUGAACGAAGAAGGCUUUCGAGUCGUAAAGUUCUUUUAUAUGGGAAGAUAAUGACGGUACCAUAGAAGAAAGCCCCGGCUAAAUACGUGCCAGCAGCCGCGGUAAUACGUAUGGGGCGAGCGUUGUCCGGAAUUAUUGGGCGUAAAGGGUACGUAGGCGGUCUAUUAAGUCAGGUGUGAAAGCGUGAGGCUUAACCUCAUUAAGCACUUGAAACUGAUAGACUUGAGUGAAGGAGAGGAAAGUGGAAUUCCUAGUGUAGCGGUGAAAUGCGUAGAUAUUAGGAGGAAUACCGGUGGCGAAGGCGACUUUCUGGACUUUUACUGACGCUCAGGUACGAAAGCGUGGGGAGCAAACAGG
Molecule: ribosomal RNA, 403 nt
Filed under: Verrucomicrobiota bacterium
Lineage: Bacteria; Pseudomonadati; Verrucomicrobiota
Description: Verrucomicrobia bacterium partial 16S ribosomal RNA
Rfam family: Bacterial small subunit ribosomal RNA
Source: RNAcentral